GGCGAGCGGCGGACGGGUGAGGAAUACAUCGGAAUCUACCUUGUCGUGGGGGAUAACGUAGGGAAACUUACGCUAAUACCGCAUACGAACUACGGUUGAAAGCGGAGGACCGCAAGGCUUCGCGCGAUUGGAUGAGCCGAUGUCGGAUUAGCUAGUUGGCGGGGUAAU
This 168-nucleotide ribosomal RNA is filed under the name Aeromonas salmonicida subsp. salmonicida 01-B526. RNAcentral describes it as "partial 16S ribosomal RNA". It matches the Rfam family "Bacterial small subunit ribosomal RNA", at positions 90 to 261 of the family's 1533-position model. The record is from RNAcentral. Lineage: Bacteria; Pseudomonadati; Pseudomonadota; Gammaproteobacteria; Aeromonadales; Aeromonadaceae.